RNAcentral lists this ribosomal RNA (856 nucleotides) under uncultured bacterium. RNAcentral describes it as "bacterial SSU rRNA". It matches the Rfam family "Bacterial small subunit ribosomal RNA", at positions 8 to 853 of the family's 1533-position model. The record is from RNAcentral.
AGAGUUUGAUCAUGGCUCAGAUUGAACGCUGGCGGCAGGCUUAACACAUGCAAGUCGAACGGUAACAGGAAGGAAGCUUGCUUUCUUUGCUGACGAGUGGCGGACGGGUGAGUAAUGCUUGGGAAUCUGGCUUAUGGAGGGGGAUAACUACGGGAAACUGUAGCUAAUACCGCGUAAUAUCUUCGGAUUAAAGGGUGGGACCGUAAGGCCACCUGCCAUAAGAUGAGCCCAAGUGGGAUUAGGUAGUUGGUGGGGUAAAGGCCUACCAAGCCGACGAUCUCUAGCUGGUCUGAGAGGAUGACCAGCCACACUGGAACUGAGACACGGUCCAGACUCCUACGGGAGGCAGCAGUGGGGAAUAUUGCACAAUGGGGGGAACCCUGAUGCAGCCAUGCCGCGUGAAUGAAGAAGGCCUUAGGGUUGUAAAGUUCUUUCGGUGAUGAGGAAGGCGGUUGUUUUAAUAGAACAAUCGAUUGACGUUAGUCACAGAAGAAGCACCGGCUAACUCCGUGCCAGCAGCCGCGGUAAUACGGAGGGUGCGAGCGUUAAUCGGAAUGACUGGGCGUAAAGGGCACGCAGGCGGUGACUUAAGUGAGAUGUGAAAGCCCCGGGCUUAACCUGGGAAUUGCAUUUCAUACUGGGUCGCUAGAGUAUUUUAGGGAGGGGUAGAAUUCCACGUGUAGCGGUGAAAUGCGUAGAGAUGUGGAGGAAUACCGAAGGCGAAGGCAGCCCCUUGGGAAUAUACUGACGCUCAUGUGCGAAAGCGUGGGGAGCAAACAGGAUUAGAUACCCUGGUAGUCCACGCUGUAAACGCUGUCGAUUUGGGGAUUGGGCUUUAAGCUUGGUGCCCGUAGCU